RNAcentral lists this transfer RNA (73 nucleotides) under Thermoleophilaceae bacterium. RNAcentral's name for it is "tRNA-Thr". It matches the Rfam family "tRNA". Rfam says of the family: Transfer RNA (tRNA) molecules are approximately 80 nucleotides in length. Their secondary structure includes four short double-helical elements and three loops (D, anti-codon, and T loops). The record is from RNAcentral. Lineage: Bacteria; Bacillati; Actinomycetota; Thermoleophilia; Thermoleophilales; Thermoleophilaceae.
GCCGGAGUAGCUCAGUUGGCAGAGCGGCGGUUUUGUAAACCGCAGGCCGUCGGUUCGAGUCCGACCUCCGGCU